Small nuclear RNA from Cricetulus griseus (Chinese hamster), 99 nucleotides. NCBI's taxonomy places the organism in Eukaryota, Metazoa, Chordata, Mammalia, Rodentia, Cricetidae. The record is from Ensembl.
GUGUUUAGUACACACACUAAAGUUGGAGUGAUGCAGAGAAAAUUAGCAUGGACUCUGUGCAAGGAUGGCAUGCUAAUCCACAAAGCAUGCCAUGUUGAG